This 3453-nucleotide long non-coding RNA is filed under the name Panax ginseng (ginseng). Its description in RNAcentral is "long non-coding RNA (PGIN_LNC004747)". Lineage: Eukaryota; Viridiplantae; Streptophyta; Magnoliopsida; Apiales; Araliaceae. The record is from RNAcentral.
UGCAGUCUACCAUAACCCAAAGCCAAAACCCAAAUUGCUUCUCACUCUUUGCCUGCCCAAACCCCAAAUCCCAAAUUGCGCCUCCGUCCUAUCCGUGUCUCCCUUCCUUUCGACGUCCUUCAUGUUCUAACCCUAAUUUUUAUUUCUUUUGAAUUUCUCAAUCCAAUAAGAUAUUCAAAAGCUGUGACAACCGUGACAGAGGAGAUUCAAGUUUAGGGAAGUAAGUCCUUGUUGCGGUUAAUUUGCUUCAUUUUCACUGAAUAAAGCGGUAGAUUUGGCUCGGGUUAAAGCCGAAUGGAGAGCUAAAGAAGUUAUUCUAGCCAGGGAGAGAGCUAAGGAUGCGUUGGAGCGAUUUUUUGCCCUGACCUCCAAGAUUGAUGAAUUGAUUGACACAUCCAAAAUUGAACAUUUGGCAAAACAAUUAACUCAAACUUGCCAAAUUGGGGAUGCAGAAGGACAAAAGGAUGAUGAUGAUCUAUUGCAUAAUGGUCUGCACUCUUUGUGAGUUAAUAUACUCUUUAUUUUUUUAUGUUAUGUGGAAUGGCUUGAACUUUAAGAAUUUAUGUAGAUUAUAUGGUCAGAAUUUUCAGUUCUAGUAUUGACCAGUUAAUUUGUAUUUGUAGUAUUGACCAAUUGAUUUGUAUUUGUGAUACUAUAGCUCGAUUUGUAAUUUAUGAGUUCAGUUUCAAUUUUUAACACAAAUCAGCAACACAAUUGACAUCAGAAUCACAAUGAAUGUGAUUGGUACAGUCGUCCUGGUCGUUGGCCACAGGAGAAUGGCAACGACUUGCUAAAACUCGUCUUUCAAUCUCUAUAAUCAUCCUCUCUAAUAAGCAGGCAUCAUAUUUUUUUUAUCUUUAGUCAGAUCUAACACCUUUUGUACAACUUCAAUUGCCUCAAAUGAAAGCAUCAAAUAGUUUUCAAAAUAAUAAAGCAACUAUCCCAAAUGUAUAACCAUGAACUAUCUUGAAUAAAAUAUAUAAGAUGUGCACAUAUCAGAAGGAAAAUCGAAAGUCUGAGUAGAAAUGAAUUUGCUUGACUUGGCAACAACUAAUACAUUGUAGUUUAUUCUAUACAUUUUAAACUGAAGUGGAUAUGCUUGGGUUUUAGUAUUAUUGAUUGCCAAUAAUUGUAGAAUGUAUAUGCUGCAAAUAUUCUAGAUGCUAUAAAAUAGUGAAAAUUAGUGAUGAAGUACAACAUACUUGUUACAAAACUAACUUGGAACAUAUUUUAAUGACUGAUAGUUAAUGUGUGUAAACUAGGGAUGAUAGUUUUAGGUACACGAAGCGACAAAACCUAACAGCAACCACUUCGUAAAACCAUAUAUGGUUUGGGAUGGGUAGUGGGAUUUACAUUUAGGUCACCCGUUACAACUUACAUGCUACUCGUUUAGUAGGUACAAUUUUAUAAUUUAUAAUUUGUCAUAUAAUGUGCAGAUAUACAUUGUUAAAUUUCAAACUUGUGAACUCUUAAUAGUUAAUAGAGAAGCUCUAAAUAAAUCACAAAUUAUUUAAAUAUAUAUUUAUAUAGAAUAUCAUACUGUAUUAUAUAUUUUAUGUUGCAUUAUAUUAUAAAUGGGUACAGAAUGCCUCGGCUUAAUGGAUUAGAGGGACAGGAAUGGGUAGCAAAAUAAAUUGUAGCUAGGUUUAGAUAGGGAAACAAUUAAAGACGAAUAAUUUAAAAUCAGAGUAAAGUGAAUGAAUAAUUUCAAAAGCAAUGAAGGAGGUUAUAUAAGUUUCUCUAGCUCUUCUUAGUUAAUAUUUUGUUGUUGAUGAAUAUAUAUGUUUCCAAUGCUCUGUUUUUUUUAUGCUCAUAUAUGAAUGGGUACAGUAUGAUAGUAUUUUCUUUCAUAACUAUGGUAGAUUUUGAAAUCCAAUUAAUUUGCUACAGCUAAUUAAUUUAUAUCAUGUAGAGUAGUAGUAUACGAAUUUUUUAUAUGCCAAGAUGUAUAUAUACCUUAAAUCAAAAAAUCUUACUGAUAUGAGUUUUUUUAGAAUCACCACUUUUGUGAUGGAAAUUUUUAAAAGCUGUGCAAAAUGAUAGAACUCGAUUACGUAGAGGUUCAUUGACAUAGCAGUUGGAUCAACCAGGUUUUAGUCCUGAGUGCACAAGAAUGAGUUUGUUGUUUACUUCUUUAGAGAUGCGGGACCUGGGAAUGAUUGGAUCUCUUGUGAAUUCUUUGACAAUGCUGGAAACAUCUUCUGUUACUGCAUUUGCUAGAGAUUUUCAAUUCAGCCAACCAAUAUUUACAAUUUCAAUUUCUAAUUGAUGGCUAUUUCAUCAUUAAUUAAUGUGUAUUAAUACAUAUUCAUCUGUAUACUAACUCCCAAAUACGAUGGCAUGAAAACAUUUUCAAAUAUAUAUAUAUAUAUAUAUAUAUAUAUAUAUAUAUAUAUAUAUAUAUAUUUGCAUAUUUGAUAUAGUAAAAAAUAUAACAUGUUAUACUAAAUAUAUUGCAGAUUUAAAACCAUAUAAGGUGCUAAAUCAACAUACUCAAAAGAAAGGAGCAAGUAAAGUGGUUCAGUGUAACGUGGGGCUUGUAAAUGGGGGUUUAUGCUACAGGAGUCAUUAGCGACGUCUGUGUCGUCGCCAGUGAGGUCAUUCUCGACGGCGUGGCGUCUAUCGACAAUGGUCUCGUCAGCUAUGCCAUGAUUUUUUUAGUGUACCUUACAUAUGUAAACAAUUUUUUUACUAAUAUAUCAUGCAUUUUUAUAACUUGCAGAAGACGGUACACCAGAGAUAGAUGACUUGGCCAUUUGGAGUAGUGAGAUAACUGGCGGGACUAAAAAAAUUAGAUACUUGGUUUUUCAAAAUAUCAUGCACGAGACUUGCUUGCUUAUCCUCCUAUGGUGCCUCCGAGUAUAGGUUCCUCACCGCAACAAUCUAUUGAUCCUAAGGUAUUAGAGAGUAUGAUUGAUAAGAUUGUCCUUCGUUGAUUGGGUAUAUAGUCAAUGAACGAGGCUUCUAUUAAUGAUAGUACACCCUAACCGUCCAUUGAUAGUAUUAAUGAGCAUAUAACUAAAUUGGUAGAGACAGAGUUUACCAACUUCCUUCAAACAUUUACCAACUAUGAAUCAGUUGAGGUAUUUACUAAUAGCUAUAUUUUUAUCUUUUUCCUUCAUUAAUCUUUUUCUCCCUAUUAAUUUAAGUUCACCAUGUUCAUUUUUUCUUACUUCUCAUCUUAUUGAAAUUGAAUUUUGGUGUUUCUUUUGCAGCAUGAAAUUUACAGGCCCAACCUUAAUUUCCUUGAGAAAAAUGAUGAUGAAGUGAACCUAACAUGAUGUACACUUCAUUCCUUUUAGUUCGUCGUUAUUCUUUCAGUUUUCUUAUGUUAAUUAUUAAAUAUUGUAAGUACUAUGAUAUUUGGGAGAUCAAGAUACAAUAACAAAUUAUGUACUUAUCGUGACUUGAGCAUUACCUAUUUAUAUAUGGAGUAUUAGUUUUAAUUAUUGG